ACAGAAGCACAAAGAAAAGUCUUCUGAUACGAAAAUUCAACGCCGUGUUUGAUUACAAAGAUGCCCACUUUUUUUUUUUUUUUUUUAAAGUUAUCAAAUUGCAUUUUGUAGACGACCCAUUUUAUAAUCUAGACUGGUCAUUUGUUUGAUCUAUUCGCCAUUUUUUUUAAUCUCCAUAUCUGCUAUAGACUCCUGUGCUUCGUUAAUAUUGGAUGCUAAAACUGCUAUUUGUUUUAUCGAUUUGUGUUGCAGCAAAGCUCGAUUCCUGGUUACUUGGUAUGGAGUAAAAUCAGCUUUGAAUGCUUCAAUCUCUGUUUGAACACUGAUUUUGAGGAUUGAACUUGUGGGAUGAUUGAGCAAAAGCAUGAAUAUGUGAUGGCUGAUGAAUAGCCACAAGUAGAUUUUUCGUGGAAACAAUAGUGACCAUGGAAGUCAUGUGUUCACUUGCUGACCCACAGGAAAGAUUGGAAUCAAAAGAAAACAACCUAUAUAACAGCAAAGAUAGGGCACGCUUCAAAAAUCAGGUGUACAUAUAAAUGUACAUGACAUUUGAGGAUUGGAUAUUUCAUUGCCGUUGAAUUUGGUGUUUCUAUAAGUGAUUAUAUUCAGAACUAACUUAAAAUUGUAUCAUUCAUGAUCCAUUCUCAUUACUGGUUAAUUAACAAGUUCAGACAUUAAUUUUUCCAGUAAAUUUGAAUGGAAAUUUUAGUUCUUCCUUCCCCUUUUUUCUUUCUUUCCUUAUUGGUCAGGACUAUGCUGCCAUGCCACCGAUAUUUGAGCUGUGAGUUAUCAUUCUAUCUGCUUUAGUACAUUGCUCACUUUUCAUAGUUAGAUGAGGUAGAAUCUCUUUGUUGUUUCAUGUGCUAAGAAUACAACAGCUGUAUGUACAAUCUUAUAUGUAAUAUCUAAGCCAAGUUGAUCACUUGAUUGGUUAAAUGGGAUUUCGUAUGUUUUCCCUUUCCAUGAGAUUCAGUGAUGUAUCGUAGACAUGGUGGCCAAGUUAUAGAAGUUUAACCGGUCACUUCUGUCAAACUGUUGUAUAGAAUAUUAUCUGCAUGGUAUCUGAUUACUGGAAUUCUGGCUGAUUGACAUCCU
Mangifera indica (mango) is the source of this 1095-nucleotide long non-coding RNA. RefSeq lists it as uncharacterized. Lineage: Eukaryota; Viridiplantae; Streptophyta; Magnoliopsida; Sapindales; Anacardiaceae. The record is from RefSeq and is a predicted model, not a curated record. The transcript has 2 exons.